This 366-nucleotide ribosomal RNA is filed under the name uncultured eukaryote. Its description in RNAcentral is "partial 18S ribosomal RNA". It matches the Rfam family "Eukaryotic small subunit ribosomal RNA", at positions 592 to 976 of the family's 1831-position model. The record is from RNAcentral.
CAAUAGCGUAUAUUAACGUUGUUGCAGUUAAAAAGCUCGUAGUUGGAUUUCUGGAGGGAGCGUCGGCCCGUAUUUACGAGUGCGUGACGUCUCUGUCCAUCCUUGCGGGAAGGCACGGCAUUGAUUUGUUGUGUCGGAUCGCAUCAUUUACUGUGAAAAAAUUAGAGUGUUCAAAGCAGGCUUUCGCUUGAAUACAUUAGCAUGGAAUAAUAAGAUAGGACUUUGGUGUUAUUUUGUUGGUUGAGCCUAAAGUAAUGAUUAAUAGGGAUAGUUGGGGGCACCUGUAUUGCGUUGUCAGAGGUGAAAUUCUUGGAUUUACGCAAGACAAACAGCUGCGAAAGCGUCUGCCAAGGAUGUUUUCAUUAA